ACGCUGGCGGCAGGCCUAACACAUGCAAGUCGAGCGGUAACAGAAAGUAGCUUGCUACUUUGCUGACGAGCGGCGGACGGGUGAGUAAUGCCUGGGAAUAUGCCUUGAUGUGGGGGAUAACUAUUGGAAACGAUAGCUAAUACCGCAUAAUGUCUUCGGACCAAAGAGGGGGAUCUUCGGACCUCUCGCGUCAAGAUUAGCCCAGGUGAGAUUAGCUAGUUGGUGGGGUAAGAGCUCACCAAGGCGACGAUCUCUAGCUGGUCUGAGAGGAUGAUCAGCCACACUGGAACUGAGACACGGUCCAGACUCCUACGGGAGGCAGCAGUGGGGAAUAUUGCACAAUGGGCGAAAGCCUGAUGCAGCCAUGCCGCGUGUAUGAAGAAGGCCUUCGGGUUGUAAAGUACUUUCAGUCGUGAGGAAGGGUGUGUAGUUAAUAGCUGCACAUCUUGACGUUAGCGACAGAAGAAGCACCGGCUAACUCCGUGCCAGCAGCCGCGGUAAUACGGAGGGUGCGAGCGUUAAUCGGAAUUACUGGGCGUAAAGCGCAUGCAGGUGGUUCAUUAAGUCAGAUGUGAAAGCCCGGGGCUCAACCUCGGAACCGCAUUUGAAACUGGUGAACUAGAGUGCUGUAGAGGGGGGUAGAAUUUCAGGUGUAGCGGUGAAAUGCGUAGAGAUCUGAAGGAAUACCAGUGGCGAAGGCGGCCCCCUGGACA
RNAcentral lists this ribosomal RNA (713 nucleotides) under Vibrio sp. 7H01. RNAcentral describes it as "bacterial SSU rRNA". It matches the Rfam family "Bacterial small subunit ribosomal RNA", at positions 33 to 735 of the family's 1533-position model. The record is from RNAcentral. Lineage: Bacteria; Pseudomonadati; Pseudomonadota; Gammaproteobacteria; Vibrionales; Vibrionaceae.